AGUCUGUCAAUUACCGACCCUGGCUUAGUCUGUCAUUCUGAUCCUGGCUCAGCCAAGACUCAUCUCACAAUUCCAACUGGUGAACUGGCUCUGAUACCAAAUGUAACACUCCGACCAGCCAACAAUAAUAACUCGUUGGGCCCAAACAACAGGCCUAAAAUGCUUAAGCCCAAUUAUUAUAGCUAGCCCAAUCAAGCUUAUAUACUCCGACAUCUAGCCAUAACUAUCCGAUGUAGGACUAUUGGGGUGUCACAAAUAGGAAUCAGACGGUUAAUCACA
Molecule: long non-coding RNA, 279 nt
Filed under: Ananas comosus (pineapple)
Lineage: Eukaryota; Viridiplantae; Streptophyta; Magnoliopsida; Poales; Bromeliaceae
Description: long non-coding RNA (ACOM_LNC033025)
Source: RNAcentral